Molecule: ribosomal RNA, 443 nt
Filed under: uncultured bacterium
Lineage: Bacteria
Description: partial 16S ribosomal RNA
Rfam family: Bacterial small subunit ribosomal RNA
Source: RNAcentral
CCUACGGGGGGCAGCAGUGGGGAAUAUUGGGCAAUGGGCGCAAGCCUGACCCAGCAACGCCGCGUGAAGGAAGAAGGCUUUCGGGUUGUAAACUUCUGUUGUCAGGGACGAAGCAAGUGACGGUACCUGACGAAUAAGCCACGGCUAACUACGGGCCAGCAGCCGCGGUAAUACGUAGGCGGCAAGCGUUAUCCGGAUUUACGGGGUGUAAAGGGCGGGUAGGCGGGGAAGCAAGUCAGAUGUGAAAACCACGGGCUCAACCUGUGGCCUGCAUUUGAAACUGUUUGUCUUGAGUGCUGGAGAGGCCAUCGGAAUUCCGUGUGUAGCGGUGCACUGCGUAGCUAUCCGGAGGAACCCCAGUGGCGAAGGCGGAUUGCUGGACAGUAACUGACGCUGAGGCGCGAAAGCGUGGGGAGCAAACAGGAUUAGAUACCCUGGUAGUC